RNAcentral lists this ribosomal RNA (220 nucleotides) under uncultured bacterium. Its description in RNAcentral is "partial 16S ribosomal RNA". It matches the Rfam family "Bacterial small subunit ribosomal RNA", at positions 524 to 741 of the family's 1533-position model. The record is from RNAcentral.
UACAGAGGGUGCGAGCGUUGUCCGGAAUCGACUGGGCGUAAAGGCGCGUAGGCGGCCUGGCAAGUCGGUGGUGAAAGCUCAGAGCUCAACUCUGAGUCGGCCAUCGAUACUGCUAUGGCUCGAGUCGACUGAGAGGCAGAUGGAAUUCCGGGUGUAGCGGUGGAAUGCGUAGAGAUCCGGAAGAACACCGGUGGCGAAGGCGGUCUGCUGGGGUCGAACU